UGGGGAAUAUUGCACAAUGGGCGCAAGCCUGAUGCAGCGACGCCGCGUGAGGGAUGACGGCCUUCGGGUUGUAAACCUCUUUCAAUAGGGACGAAGCGCAAGUGACGGUACCUAUAGAAGAAGGACCGGCCAACUACGUGCCAGCAGCCGCGGUAAUACGUAGGGUCCGAGCGUUGUCCGGAAUUACUGGGCGUAAAGAGCUCGUAGGUGGUUUGUCGCGUUGUUCGUGAAAACUCACAGCUUAACUGUGGGCGUGCGGGCGAUACGGGCAGACUAGAGUACUGCAGGGGAGACUGGAAUUCCUGGUGUAGCGGUGGAAUGCGCAGAUAUCAGGAGGAACACCGGUGGCGAAGGCGGGUCUCUGGGCAGUAACUGACGCUGAGGAGCGAAAGCGUGGGGAGCGAACAGGAUUAGAUACCCUGGUAGUCCACGCCGUAAACGGUGGGUACUAGGUGUGGGUUUCCUUCCUUGGGAUCCGUGCCGUAGCUAACGCAUUAAGUACCCCGCCUGGGGAGUACGGCCGCAAGGCUAAAACUCAAAGGAAUUGAC
This 549-nucleotide ribosomal RNA is filed under the name uncultured bacterium. RNAcentral's name for it is "partial 16S ribosomal RNA". It matches the Rfam family "Bacterial small subunit ribosomal RNA", at positions 355 to 914 of the family's 1533-position model. The record is from RNAcentral.